AUCUAACAGAUAAUCUUUCAUCUUUGGACCCUAUCAUGUGGAAGGAUCUUGUAUCAUUUGAAUCAUCAGCUGAGCCUGCUGCUGAUCAUUACAGAGCAGUAGCUUCUACUACAAUGUGUACGGAGGCUACUUCUCAAAGUGAUGACAUGGAUUUAGUGGUGAAAUCCAUUGAUUUUGAUAGUGAUUUUCAGUUUGAUGAAAGUGAAUUCAACUACUUAAGCUAAGGUAUAGAAAGCUGCAGGUUUUCCCCUGGUGUAUAGAUGUCAACCUUCAAGAAUUACCUUCUUUCCUGUACUAUGUAAUCUAGUUUUGUGGAAUAAUUAUUAAUUAGCAUAAAACUAGAUUACAUAGUACAGGAAAGAA
Molecule: unclassified non-coding RNA, 363 nt
Filed under: Hevea brasiliensis (rubber tree)
Lineage: Eukaryota; Viridiplantae; Streptophyta; Magnoliopsida; Malpighiales; Euphorbiaceae
Source: RNAcentral